This 492-nucleotide ribosomal RNA is filed under the name uncultured bacterium. RNAcentral describes it as "partial 16S ribosomal RNA". It matches the Rfam family "Bacterial small subunit ribosomal RNA", at positions 29 to 507 of the family's 1533-position model. The record is from RNAcentral.
AGUGAACGCUGGCGGUAGGCCUAACACAUGCAAGUCGAACGGCAGCACAGUAAGAGCUUGCUCUUACGGGUGGCGGGUGGCGGACGGGUGAGGAAUACAUCGGAAUCUACUUUUUCUUGGGGGAUAACGUAGGGAAACUUACGCUAAUACCGCAUACGACCUACGGGUGAAAGCAGUGGAUCUUCGGACCUUGCGCGAUUGAAUGAGCCGAUGUCGGAUUAGCUAGUUGGCGGGGUAAAGGCCCACCAAGGCGACGAUCCGUAGCUGGUCUGAGAGGAUGAUCAGCCACACUGGAACUGAGACACGGUCCAGACUCCUACGGGAGGCAGCAGUGGGGAAUAUUCGACAAUGGGCGCAAGCCUGAUCCAGCCAUACCGCGUGGGUGAAGAAGGCCUUCGGGUUGUAAAGCCCUUUUGUUGGGAAAGAAAAGCAGCAGGUUAAUACCCCGCUGUUCUGACGGUACCCAAAGAAUAAGCACCGGCUAACUUCGUG